Molecule: small nuclear RNA, 106 nt
Organism: Peromyscus californicus insignis
Lineage: Eukaryota; Metazoa; Chordata; Mammalia; Rodentia; Cricetidae
Source: RefSeq, a predicted model, not a curated record
GUGCUUGCUUCUGUAGGACUUAACGAUAAAACUGAACAAUACAGAGAUGAUUAGUAUGGCCCUGCACAAAGAGGACAUGCAAACUUGUGAAGUGUUUCAUAUUUUU